UCAUUCUGUGACUGUGUAAAGUCCCCAGUCAGGAGCUCCUUCCCUGCCCUGUGAUGUGCAGUCCCUUUCCACAACAUUGGAGCUGAAGCUGGGCCUCUGAGUCUGUGCCUGUAUAUUCCUACGACUUCUCAGAGUCCUGUGAACAGUGACCGAUGAGACAAACUGCAGGAAAUGAUG
This 177-nucleotide small nucleolar RNA is filed under the name Jaculus jaculus (lesser Egyptian jerboa). RNAcentral's name for it is "Small nucleolar RNA SNORA73 family (ENSJJAG00000006301.1)". Lineage: Eukaryota; Metazoa; Chordata; Mammalia; Rodentia; Dipodidae. The record is from RNAcentral.